UAGGGAAUAAUAGAAAUGGACGAAAGUCUGAUCUAGCAACACCGCGUGUGUGAAGAAGGCCUUCGGGUUGUAAAGCACUUUUUGGAAGGAUUAGGAAGGAAUGUACUUCCAGAAUAAGUCUCGGCUAACUACGUGCCAGCAGCCGCGGUAACACGUAGGAGGCAAACGUUAUCCGGAUUUACUGGGCGUAAAGCGCGUGUAGGUGGUUCUGUAAGUAGGGCGUGAAAGCUCCUGGCUCAACUGGGAGAGGCCGUUCUAAACUGCAGAGCUAGAGGAUGGUAGAGGGAGGUGGAAUUCCGGGUGUAGCGGUGGAAUGCGCAGAUAUCCGGAGGAACACCAGUGGCGAAAGCGGCCUCCUGGACCAUUCCUGACGCUCAGACGCGAAAGCUAGGGUAGCAAACGG
Molecule: ribosomal RNA, 403 nt
Filed under: uncultured bacterium
Lineage: Bacteria
Description: bacterial SSU rRNA
Rfam family: Bacterial small subunit ribosomal RNA
Source: RNAcentral